This 468-nucleotide ribosomal RNA is filed under the name uncultured bacterium. Its description in RNAcentral is "partial 16S ribosomal RNA". It matches the Rfam family "Bacterial small subunit ribosomal RNA", at positions 28 to 507 of the family's 1533-position model. The record is from RNAcentral.
GACGAACGCUGGCGGCGUGCUUAACACAUGCAAGUCGAACGGAAAGGCCCUGCUUUUGUGGGGUGCUCGAGUGGCGAACGGGUGAGUAACACGUGAGUAACCUGCCCUUGACUUUGGGAUAACUUCAGGAAACUGGGGCUAAUACCGGAUAGGAGCUCCUGCUGCAUGGUGGGGGUUGGAAAGUUUCGGCGGUUGGGGAUGGACUCGCGGCUUAUCAGCUUGUUGGUGGGGUAGUGGCUUACCAAGGCUUUGACGGGUAGCCGGCCUGAGAGGGUGACCGGCGACAUUGGGACUGAGGUACGGCCCAGUCUCCUACGGGAGGCAGCAGUGGGGAAUAUUGCACAAUGGGCGGAAGCCUGAUGCAGCAACGCCGCGUGCGGGAUGACGGCCUUCGGGUUGUAAACCGCUUUCGCCUGUGACAAAGCGUGAGUGACGGUAAUGGGUAAAGAAGCACCGGCUAACUACGUG